AGAGAGAGACAUGCGCGCAUAUCAAUAAGCGGAGGAAAAGAAACUAACAAGGAUUCCCUUAGUAACGGCGAGUGAAGCGGGAAGAGCUCAAAUUUGAAAUCUUCAAGGUUUUACCUUGACGAAUUGUAGUUUAAAGAAGUGUUUUCUGCUGAAGUUUUGGUAAAAGUUCUUUGGAAUAGGACAUCAUAGAGGGUGAGAAUCCCGUAUUUGACCAUUAUUUCAGCUUUGUGAUACACUUUCAAAGAGUCGGAUUGUUUGGGAAUGCAGUCCAAAAUGGGUGGUAAAUUUCAUCUAAAGCUAAAUAUUGGCGAGAGACCGAUAGCGAACAAGUACCGUGAGGGAAAGAUGAAAAGAACUUUGAAAAGAGAGUCAAACAGUACGUGAAAUUGUCAAAAGGGAAGCGUUUGACACCAGUGUUGUUUUCUCGAAAAUCAAUUAAAAAUGGCUCGAUUUUGUAUUGUUGAGACCUUAAAAGCUCACUGUACAUUUUUCGUGUCUUUUUUAAUGCACUUUUCGUUUAACAAGUCAACAUCAGUUUCUUUUGUUGUAAAAGGGUCAUUGGAAGGUGGCUUUCUUUUCGGAGAAAGUGUUUAUAGCCUUUGGCCUCUGCAAUCGAAGAGACUGAGGUCUGCAGCGUAGACUCUUCGGGGUUAGAUACAUUUGUGCUAAGUUAUAGCUUUUUAUAGACAACUUGUUGACUAUAAUUAGUCUUGUAGCUUACUCGCUUAUGCUAUUUUACCUACGCUUAGGAUGUUGAAGAUGUAGCACAUCAU
RNAcentral lists this ribosomal RNA (773 nucleotides) under uncultured Neocallimastigales. Its description in RNAcentral is "partial large subunit ribosomal RNA". It matches the Rfam family "Eukaryotic large subunit ribosomal RNA", at positions 23 to 634 of the family's 3401-position model. The record is from RNAcentral. Lineage: Eukaryota; Fungi; Neocallimastigomycota; Neocallimastigomycetes; Neocallimastigales.